This 253-nucleotide ribosomal RNA is filed under the name uncultured bacterium. RNAcentral's name for it is "partial 16S ribosomal RNA". It matches the Rfam family "Bacterial small subunit ribosomal RNA", at positions 524 to 776 of the family's 1533-position model. The record is from RNAcentral.
UACAGAGGUGCCGAGCGUUAGGCGGAAUCACUGGGCUUAAAGCGUGUGUAGGCGGAUCGUUAAGUGUCUUGUGAAAUCCCACGGCUCACCCGUGGAACUGCUGGGCAUACUGGCGAUCUUGGGCCAACUAGGGGCAACUGGAACAAGCGGUGGAGCGGUGAAAUGCGUAGAUAUCGCUUGGAACGCCAACGGUGAAAACAGGUUGCUGGGGUUGUGCCGACGCUGAGACACGAAAGCCAGGGGAGCAAACGGG